UACGUAGGGGGCAAGCGUUGUCCGGAAUCAUUGGGCGUAAAGCGCGUGUAGGCGGCUUGGUAAGUCCGCUGUGAAAGUCGGGGGCUCAACCCUCGAAAGCCGGUGGAUACUGUCGGGCUAGGGUGCGGAAGAGGCGAGUGGAAUUCCUGGUGUAGCGGUGAAAUGCGCAGAUAUCAGGAGGAACACCAAUUGCGAAGGCAGCUCGCUGGGACGUUACUGACGCUGAGGAGCGAAAGCGUGGGGAGCAAACAGG
RNAcentral lists this ribosomal RNA (253 nucleotides) under uncultured bacterium. RNAcentral describes it as "partial 16S ribosomal RNA". It matches the Rfam family "Bacterial small subunit ribosomal RNA", at positions 524 to 776 of the family's 1533-position model. The record is from RNAcentral.